Molecule: unclassified non-coding RNA, 305 nt
Filed under: Hevea brasiliensis (rubber tree)
Lineage: Eukaryota; Viridiplantae; Streptophyta; Magnoliopsida; Malpighiales; Euphorbiaceae
Source: RNAcentral
GUUCGUGCCACCGAGGAGCCUUGUUCCUAAGCACUAGAACUCCAUCUUUCUGAUCAGUUGAAGAUCCUGAUGGUUGAUUGUCUGUGUGAUUCGAUUUUGACCAGGAAAAUCUCAAUGAUGGAAGAAAGUCUAUACGAUUUGGCGAGAAUUCAGUCUGUAUUGGAGCCACCCCUCCUGGCUCAAUAGCAGAGGCAGGAAUAGCAUCCAUUACACAAUGCAUUCUCCUUGGACCCCUUGAACCCAAGACAUUUAACUCAUAUGAGAUGUGAGCCACAGGGUAGUUGCCGGCAGGAACUCUAGGUGAC